AGUCGAGCGAUCGGCCGGUGAGGGGUAACCCGAUCCGGUACGGAGCGGCGAACGGGUGAGUAACACGUGGGCAACCUGCCCCAGGCUCUGGAAUAACCCCCGGAAACGGGGGCUAAUGCCGGAUAACCUCGGACGGUCACAUGGCCGAUCGAGCAAAGUUCAGGCGGCCUGGGAUGGGCCCGCGGCCUAUCAGCUUGUUGGUGGGGUAACGGCCUACCAAGGCGACGACGGGUAGCUGGCGUGAGAGCGUGGCCAGCCACACUGGGACUGAGACACGGCCCAGACUCCUACGGGAGGCAGCAGUGGGGAAUCUUGCACAAUGGGCGAAAGCCUGAUGCAGCGACGCCGCGUGAGGGAAGAAGGCCCUCGGGUUGUAAACCUCUUUCGGCAGGGAAGAAGCCGCAAGGUGACGGUACCUGCAGAAGAAGCCCCGGCCAACUACGUGCCAGCAGCCGCGGUAAGACGUAGGGGGCGAGCGUUGUCCGGAUUCAUUGGGCGUAAGGCGCGCGCAGGCGGCUCGGAAAGUCGGAUGUGAAAAUCCGGGGCUCAACCCCGGACCUGCAUCCGAUACUCCCGAGCUAGAGGCAGGUAGGGGAGAGUGGAAUUCCCGGUGUAGCGGUGAAAUGCGCAGAUAUCGGGAGGAACACCAGUGGCGAAGGCGGCUCUCUGGGCCUGCCCUGACGCUCAGGCGCGAAAGCUAGGGGAGCGAACAGGAUUAGAUACCCUGGUAGUCCUAGCCGUAAACGAUGGGUGCUAGGUGUGGGGCCGGGAUCGACCGGCUCCGUGCCGUAGCCAACGCAUUAAGCACCCUGCC
This 814-nucleotide ribosomal RNA is filed under the name uncultured Actinomycetes bacterium. RNAcentral's name for it is "bacterial SSU rRNA". It matches the Rfam family "Bacterial small subunit ribosomal RNA", at positions 60 to 873 of the family's 1533-position model. Lineage: Bacteria; Bacillati; Actinomycetota; Actinomycetes. The record is from RNAcentral.